This 76-nucleotide transfer RNA is filed under the name Palleronia pelagia. RNAcentral's name for it is "Maribius pelagius tRNA_Thr_TGT". It matches the Rfam family "tRNA". Rfam says of the family: Transfer RNA (tRNA) molecules are approximately 80 nucleotides in length. Their secondary structure includes four short double-helical elements and three loops (D, anti-codon, and T loops). The record is from RNAcentral. Lineage: Bacteria; Pseudomonadati; Pseudomonadota; Alphaproteobacteria; Rhodobacterales; Roseobacteraceae.
GCCUCUAUAGCUCAGUUGGUAGAGCAACUGAUUUGUAAUCAGUAGGUCGCGGGUUCGACUCCUGCUGGGGGCACCA